UUUUUUCUAUACGCUUGCUUUUCGCGACAUUUUUUCAUGGGGCCCCAUGCGCGCUUUGUGUCGUCGCAAAGCACAUUACUUUUACUUCAUAUUAAUUGUACUCUAAAAUAUAUUUGUGCUGUAAUGUAAUGAAGUUGAAAUGAAGCUUGAAGAAGAAAGAUUUGGUAAAGUAUUAUUCACAAUAGGCAUUAUUACGUACACCAGUUUUUUUCUAGUUGACAUCAAAGAUGUGACGUCACGAAGUCGUGAUGACGCAACAGAAGAACUCACUUCAACCUGGUAUGUGACGUCACUGGAAUCAAGAUAACUGAGCGCGAUUUGGGAAUGAAGAAAAGCCGGUGUAUAUAUAAGCUGCAGAAGAAAAGCGCAAGACGAAGAGCAAAGACGAAGACGACGAUUGAGGAUGCCGGUUUGAAGUUUUGCUUAGGCUUAGGAGUUGCGUGUUGUUGGGGUGUGGUUGCUGGAGCACUCUUACAGUGUUGCCGGAUUUGUGCUUGUCUCUCAUUUUUGCUGCACCUAACGUGGACAGCUUUUUAGUUAGUCACUACUUUAGUGCAUUUUGCAUGUCUAUGAAAUAUAUGCAGUGAAACUAUGGCAAACAUCUUGCUGGAUCGGAUUUUGUUGUUGUACACUUCAUUGAGUGUUUCUUCUGCAAAGGUCGAAUCUUUUAGCGAUUCUGCAUUGUCCUAAUCACUCGAUAAGAACGACAUGUUGGUAGACAAAUACUUGAGUAAUAUCCACACGCUUUAUAAUAUACACGCAGUUAAACUUUUAUAUUUGAUAUCCCUCAUUUUUCAUUAGAUGAUUGUCCCCGUUAACCUAGCUGUAACUUUUUUUUAACCUAGCUAAAACUCUUUUUUUACAAAAGCUUAAUUGUGACGCUGGCCACGUUACAAUUACGCUAAACGUCUAUGGGUAUUUAAAUCCCAGCGUUCGGUGCGGUUAUGUCACUGUUUUAGACUGAGUUACGUUACGGUUGGGUUGUUGCGUAGACGUCGCCGCCAGUGAUGCUACGCUACUUUUAGGUCACUACCGGUACAGUGAUGCUACGCUCGGUUAUUUAGGUCACUUUUAGUGCGGUUCGUAACAACCUGAUGCAGUUUCAUGACGGUCGAAGCGGUGCUUAACAUCCGAACGAUAUUAUAUUGCGUGAAGAUACGACGAGAGUAUCGCGGUAUCAAAAUGGCGACUUGUCAGGUGAUUGGGACAUGCGGAGCCGUUAUUGGCUUCGACUCCUUGUGGUCGGACAUUUAAUAAUUUGUACACUGCAGCUGAUUAUCCUUCAGGAUUUAAACCAAAUUUUCUUUGAACAUGUUUCAAUGAUUAUGGCCGCGUUAAUUAUUUUUUGUAAUCGUUCCAUUUUUGGAUUUGAUUGAGCUGUUGUGUGUAUUGCAUGAAUUUUGCACUUUUUUGUAUUUUGCCCAUUGUUGUAAUAUUUUUGUCUUUUUUAUUUGUGUCCGCACAUGUUUAUGUGCAUUUGUUGUAGUAUUUUUGUCUAUUGGGGUUUCUUUAACCUGCGUGGACAGUAACAUCCCGCAAGGGUUUCUCACCUAAG
Ciona intestinalis (vase tunicate) is the source of this 1555-nucleotide non-coding RNA. NCBI's taxonomy places the organism in Eukaryota, Metazoa, Chordata, Ascidiacea, Phlebobranchia, Cionidae. The record is from RefSeq and is a predicted model, not a curated record.